RNAcentral lists this unclassified non-coding RNA (361 nucleotides) under soil metagenome. RNAcentral describes it as "partial contains 5.8S ribosomal RNA, internal transcribed spacer 2, and large subunit ribosomal RNA". The stretch from base 1 to 120 matches the Rfam family "5.8S ribosomal RNA", at positions 35 to 154 of the family's 154-position model. The record is from RNAcentral.
GAUGAAGAACGUAGCGAAAUGCGAUAAGUAAUGUGAAUUGCAGAAUUUAGUGAAUCAUCGAAUCUUUGAACGCAUAUUGCGACCGCCAGCACUCUGGCGGGCAUGCCUGUUCGAGCGUCAUUUCAACCCUCAGGCCUCGCGUCUGGCGUUGGGGCGCUGCGGCCCUCCCGCAGGCCCCCAAAUUUAGCGGCGGAUUCCCCGCGGCCCUGAGCGCAGUAGAGAGUAAAAACUUUAACGCUCCGGCGGCCGUGGCGCGGUUCUGCCUCUUUCCCAAUAGCGCCAAUAGCGCCACCCCCAAAAAAGUUGACCUCGGAUCAGGUAGGACUACCCGCUGAACUUAAGCAUAUCAAUAAGCGGAGGA